CAAUAGCCCUGAUCGCAGCAAUUGUUUGAGCUCAUUUUUUUAGUUUCGGCGGCGCGGCUUCGCCGCGCCGCCGAAACUAAAAAAAUAGCGAGUGCGGAGAGCAGGAAAAAGC
RNAcentral lists this unclassified non-coding RNA (112 nucleotides) under Chryseobacterium profundimaris. RNAcentral's name for it is "Flavo-1 RNA". Lineage: Bacteria; Pseudomonadati; Bacteroidota; Flavobacteriia; Flavobacteriales; Weeksellaceae. The record is from RNAcentral.